RNAcentral lists this long non-coding RNA (244 nucleotides) under Setaria italica (foxtail millet). Its description in RNAcentral is "long non-coding RNA (SITA_LNC000346)". Lineage: Eukaryota; Viridiplantae; Streptophyta; Magnoliopsida; Poales; Poaceae. The record is from RNAcentral.
UUUUUCCGUCUCGCCCGACCCUGUCUGUUUCGUCGACCCUUUUCCGCCUCGCCCGAGGACUCGACUGUAUCUUUUUCCUUGACCCAAGGGUAUAUGUGUAAAAAAAUCGGGGACUUCUCUGCGUUAAGUCUGAGGACCCCUAGCACAGCUAUUCCUCUAGUCUAAGGGUGAGAUCAUGAGUUCCUUCCAACCCGACCCUUGGUCUUGUUCUUUAUCCACUGAAGCUUGAACCUCCACACCUUUU